Molecule: ribosomal RNA, 1631 nt
Filed under: metagenome
Description: bacterial LSU rRNA
Rfam family: Bacterial large subunit ribosomal RNA
Source: RNAcentral
CUUGGUAGGGGAGCGUCGUGUACCGGGGUGAAGCAUGAGCGGAAGCACGUGUGGACUGUACACGAGUGAGAAUGCCGGAAUGAGUAGCGAGAAUUAUGUGGGAAUCAUAAUGGCCGAAAAUCUAAGGUUUCCUGGGCAAGGUUCGUCCUCCCAGGGUAAGUCGGGAGCUAAGGCGAGGCCGAGAGGCGUAGUCGAUGCACAUACGGUUGAAAUUCCGUAACCACCGAAAGGUUUAAACACAGGGACACAUAGAGAUAGCGGGACCCCGGCGUUGGUUGACCGGGGCGCAAGGGACCGAACAUCAGUAGGGAAGUCCGCGAUGCUCUGUGGCGAGAAAAGCUGUGUAUAUCUAAGGUGCCCGUACCGCAAACCGACACAGGUAGAUGAGGAGAGAAUCCUAAGGCCAACGGGAGAAGGGUUGUUAAGGAACUCGGCAAAUUGACCCCGUAACUUUGGAAGAAGGGGAGCCCCCGUUUUGGGGGGCCGCAGAGAAUAGGCCCAAGCAACUGUUUACCAAAAACACAGGUCUCUGCUAAGUCGAAAGACGACGUAUAGGGGCUGACGCCUGCCCGGUGCCGGAAGGUUAAGAGGAGAGCUUAGCGCAAGCGAAGGUUUGAAUUGAAGCCCCGGUAAACGGCGGCCGUAACGAUAACGGUCCUAAGGUAGCGAAAUUCCUUGUCAGGUAAGUUCUGACCCGCACGAAUGGCGUAAUGAUUUGGGCACUGUCUCAACAGCCCGCCCGGUGAAAUUGUAGUACUGGUGAAGAUGCCAGUUACCCGCAACUAGACGGAAAGACCCCAUGGAGCUUUACUGCAGCUUAAUACUGAGGAUUGGUAAUGCAUGUACAGGAUAGGUGGGAGCCUGGGAAACUCUGGCGUCAGUUGCAGCGGAGGCGCCCUUGGAAUACCACCCUUGUGUUACUGGUUUUCUAACCUGCGGCCGUGAAUCCGGUCGGGGGACACUGUUAGGCGGGCAGUUUGACUGGGGCGGUCGCCUCCAAAAGAGUAACGGAGGCGCUCAAAGCUUGGCUCAGCACGGACGGAAAUCGUGCACAGAGCGUAAACGCAGAAGCCAGGUUGACUGCGACACCGACGGGUGGAGCAGGUACGAAAGUAGGAGUUAGUGAUCCGGUGGUAUGUGAGUGGAAAUGCCAUCGCUCAACGGAUAAAAGCUACCCUGGGGAUAACAGGCUGAUCUCCCCCAAGCGUCCACAGCGACGGGGAGGUUUGGCACCUCGAUGUCGGCUCGUCACAUCCUGGGGCUGAAUUUGGUCCCAAGGGUUCGGCUGUUCGCCGAUUAAAGUGGCACGCGAGCUGGGUUCAGAACGUCGUGAGACAGUUCGGUCCCUAUCUGUUGCGGGCGCAGGAGAUUUGAUGGGAGCUGUCCUUAGUACGAGAGGACCGGGAUGGACAGACCUCUGGUGCACCAGUUGUCGUGCCAACGGCACAGCUGGGUAGCUACGUCUGGACGAGAUAAACGCUGAAAGCAUCUAAGCGUGAAACUCCCCCAAAGAUAAGAUCUCCCCCCUUUAUGGGGUAAGGGUCGAUGUAGACUACAUCGUUGAUAGGCCGAAGGUGUAAGCACGGUAACGUGUUCAGCUGAUCGGUACUAAUCACCCGAGGGCUUGACUU